Molecule: long non-coding RNA, 943 nt
Organism: Sinocyclocheilus grahami
Lineage: Eukaryota; Metazoa; Chordata; Actinopteri; Cypriniformes; Cyprinidae
Exons: 2
Source: RefSeq, a predicted model, not a curated record
CAGCACACAAAUGAAAAAGGUCAUGCUGACAGUAUUUAAACACAAUCAUGGUGCUUACCAGUUCUUUAGGGAUGCUUUACAGUUUGAGAUUGACGAAACGUCACCCAGUAUGUCCGGUUGCUGUGGAGAAGACUGCUCCUAUGAGAUUCUGAGCCGGAGAACAAAGUACGGCGAGGCCUCGGGACAUGCGCAUGGGGGCGGCCACUGUGGAGGCUGCUGCCAUUAAGAGCGAGCCUUCCUCUGUUGUUUCAGAGCUUCCUCAUCCUCAUUCCCUACCCUGCUCCAUCACCCACGACCCCCUCUUAGAAAGCCCUUAAAACAGUCUCUCCUGCCCAUAAUCAACAAUGAAACCCCCUCUAUGCUUGCUCUUGGUUUUUAAACUCAAAAAGCUCAUUCACCAUUUCACAUAGUAAGUGACGUAUUUAGUCUCAUAAAGGUUUGAAUGACAGAAAUGGCAGUAAAGACCACUGUGAGCCACUUUCUCACCUCAGGUAUCAGCAUGGUGAGGCUCAACUCUGUCUUUGCAUUUUGUCUAGAUGCAAAAAGAGCCUGCGUUUUUUUUUUCCUCCUCCAGAAAUUGUCUGUCACCCAUCAGCUGUUUUAUUACCAUAGUGAGCGAAUGCAGGUGUUGGUGACAGUGGUUGUUACAGCCAUUCCACUCUAUACCACUUUUCAGGGUAAAUGUAUUUUAACUAAAAGCUGUCGUUUGCUUAUCACUUAAAGAAACAGAAUAUGACGAUCUGUACUGUUUAUAAUUAGUAAUCACUGAACCUAGACUGUCUCAGGUCAUUCAACUUGUAACAAAAUGUUUUAUAACAGCUGUAUUGGGGAACUGGUGGAUUGGAAUUAUGUUGAUGUUUGAUUUGAUACAGGGGUUGGCAUGUUAGUUAUGGUGGACCCUUAGUAUAGAAAUAUACUUAAAUUUUUUUUUUAUCAUAACAUU